AAAUGCCAAAGUAACAAAAUAUUGAGAUGGCUCCCUACAUUGUGCCAUCAGGAUAUGUUUGCACCCCAACUGAUAGAUACAGCUUGAUAUUUUUGCAGGAUAUUAUUUAUUCAGGAUAUUUUUGCACCCCAACUGAUAGAUACAUUGUGCCAUCAGGAUAUUUUUGCACCCCAACUGAUAGAUACAGCUAUUUUGGUGGAGUCCCCUCCCCAAUUUUAAGGUGCUUCCAGUCUGCUAUGUGUAGAUGGUAUAGUGUCGGUACACCACACUACAAUUAUACUGUGUCUGGUUCAGAAACUUUUUUAAUUCCCAUAUUUCUUUCUUUUCCCUGAGCCAAUGGCAUGUCAGCACCAGUCCGGACAAUAUCCAAGGGGGAGGGUACUAAUUCUGCUCAGAUAUUUUAAUUCACCCAGAAAGUGAAUUCAGUGCACCAUGGGUGCCAUCCAGGAGCUAGUAUGUACAACAGUAAGUGGAUGGUCAUUUCACUGAUUGCAAAAUUAGGGUGAACUAC
Paramuricea clavata is the source of this 511-nucleotide non-coding RNA. Lineage: Eukaryota; Metazoa; Cnidaria; Anthozoa; Malacalcyonacea; Plexauridae. The record is from the annotation of a GenBank genome assembly.